Molecule: ribosomal RNA, 466 nt
Filed under: uncultured bacterium
Lineage: Bacteria
Description: partial 16S ribosomal RNA
Rfam family: Bacterial small subunit ribosomal RNA
Source: RNAcentral
UGAACGCUGGCGGCGUGCUUACCACAUGCAAGUCGAACGGAAAGGCCCAAGCUUGCUUGGGUACUCGAGUGGCGAACGGGUGAGUAACACGUGGGUGAUCUGCCCUGCACUUCGGGAUAAGCCUGGGAAACUGGGUCUAAUACCGGAUAGGACGAUGGUUUGGAUGCCAUUGUGGAAAGUUUUUUCGGUGUGGGAUGAGCUCGCGGCCUAUCAGCUUGUUGGUGGGGUAAUGGCCUACCAAGGCGUCGACGGGUAGCCGGCCUGAGAGGGUGUACGGCCACAUUGGGACUGAGAUACGGCCCAGACUCCUACGGGAGGCAGCAGUGGGGAAUAUUGCACAAUGGGCGCAAGCCUGAUGCAGCGACGCCGCGUGGGGGAUGACGGCCUUCGGGUUGUAAACUCCUUUCGCUAGGGACGAAGCGUUUUUGUGACGGUACCUGGAGAAGAAGCACCGGCUAACUACGUG